UACGUAGGGCGCGAGCGUUGUCCGGAUUUAUUGGGCGUAAAGAGCUCGUAGGCGGCUUGUCGCGUCGACCGUGAAAACUUGGGGCUCAACCCCAAGCCUGCGGUCGAUACGGGCAGGCUAGAGUUCGGUAGGGGAGACUGGAAUUCCUGGUGUAGCGGUGAAAUGCGCAGAUAUCAGGAGGAACACCGGUGGCGAAGGCGGGUCUCUGGGCCGAUACUGACGCUGAGGAGCGAAAGCGUGGGGAGCGAACAGG
RNAcentral lists this ribosomal RNA (253 nucleotides) under uncultured bacterium. Its description in RNAcentral is "partial 16S ribosomal RNA". It matches the Rfam family "Bacterial small subunit ribosomal RNA", at positions 524 to 776 of the family's 1533-position model. The record is from RNAcentral.